RNAcentral lists this long non-coding RNA (4979 nucleotides) under Homo sapiens (human). RNAcentral describes it as "HSALNT0027474". The record is from RNAcentral. Lineage: Eukaryota; Metazoa; Chordata; Mammalia; Primates; Hominidae.
CCGGCGAUUAAGCACUUACCAUGUGCCUCUCCUGCUUCAGGGCACCACGCCAGCCUAUAAGCAGCCGCAGGGGUUGAGCCCUGCAGAGCCCCAGAGGCAGAGCUGCCCAAGGCUUUGGGAGCCCACCUCUUGCAUCACUGUGCCCUGGAUGUGAGACGUGGAAUCAAGGAGAUUAUUUUGGAGCUUUAAGACGUAAUGGCACCCUGCUGGGUUUCAGACUUGAGUGGAGCCUGCAGCCUUUCUUUCGGCCGGUUUCUCCCUUUUGGAACGGGAGUAUUUACCCAAUGCCUGUACCCCCAUGGUGGCAGCUGAGGCUUACUACCCCAGGAAAGGGAUGCCACCAGAGAAGGCAGACAACCAAGAUGGCGACUCUCAAUUUUUGAGCUCCUAAUUUUCUCAUGUCAGACAUAAGAAAAAAAAAUAUUUUUUAAAGAAAAAGCUUUAGGUUGCAAAAAUCUAGGCCUUUCAACUUUAAAAUCCUAUUCUUGCAAGCCUUGGAGAAUAAAGCUUAUGCAUAAACAGUAGAUUUGGAAACAGAAAUAUGCCUAAUUACCCAGAGCCAUUCUUUCAAUACGCCAGUGAUUGUUUAAAGAUUCUAUAGGCUGGAGUCAAUGGCAGGAGGCGGGUGGGAAAAGAGUCAAGAGGGAGGAGAGAAGAAGCAAGAGGGUUGGGUAGAUAUUGUCACAUGACCCUGAGAGGAGGAUUCUGGGUCAAACCCCUAGGGGGUUGUGUGUAAUGGAGACUCCAGAUCCAUUUGGGAAUCUGGCUCCAAAGAAGACUUCACCUUGCCUUCUGAGUGGAGCCCUGAAGUGGCAAGACUCAUAGAAUUCCCCCACGGGUCCACACAAGAGAGAAUGAAUAGAGAAGGCUGCGUGCUGGCUGGACCAAGGCAGCCUCGGGUGACACCACCACCACCACCGCCGCUGCCGCCAUCGCCAUCACCACUGCCGCUGCCAUCACCGCCACCACCACCACCAUCACCACCACCAUCACCACAUUAUGGACAAUAGCCCAAUGUUUCCUGAGUUCCCUAGAGGGUUGAAAGAGAAUAGGACCUAGAGAGAUCACAUAGUUGGGACAGGCACUCAUUAAUUUGAUCCAAUGACAAGAGACCAGAUGGGAAGAAGGAUGCCUUGAGAGAUGUCAGUGUGCACCCAUGGAUAGAAGCAGCUGGUGACUGGGUACUUGGGAAGCCACAUGGACACACACAAAGCUCCUGGAAGACGUUUUCAAGGAGUUGGGCUGUGCUGGGAUCCAGAACUGGCUGAAGAAACCAUGAGCUGACAUAAAAUUUCUGCCACCUAGCAGAAUGGAGGCUCCAUUUGGAAAUUAAAUUAUAUACUUAAAAAAACUAUAAUUGCUUCAUUUCUUUUUUUUGAGAUGGAGUUUCACUCUUGUUGCCCAGGCUGUAGUGCAAUGGCACCAUCUCAGCUCACUGCAAACUCCGCUCCCGGGUUCAAGAGGUGAUCCUGCCUCAGCCUCCCGAGUAGCUAGGAUUACAGGUGUGCGGCCACCAUGCCCCGCUAAUUUUGUAUUUUCAGUAGAGACGGGGUUUUACCAUGUUGGUCAAGCUGGUCUCAAACUCCUGACCUCAAAUGAUCCACCCACUUUGGCCUCCCAAAGUGCCAGGAUUACAGGCAUGAGCCACUGCGUGAAGCCAAAUGCUUCAUUUCUUUUUUUCUUUUUUUUUGUUGAGAGGGAGUCUCACUCUGCCGCCCAGGCUGGAGUGCAGUGCCGCAAUCUCGGCUCACUGCAAGCUCCCGCGUUCACGCCAUUCUCCUGCCUCAGCCUCCCGAGUAGCUGGGACUACGGGCGCCCGCCACCACGCCUAGCUAAUUUUGUUUUGUACUUUUAGUAGAGCCGGGGUUUCACCGUGUUAGCCAGGACGGUCUCGAUCUCCUGACCUCGUGAUCCGCCCGCCUGGGCCUCCCAAAGUGCUGGGAUUACAGGCGUGAGCCACCGCGCCCGGCCUGCUUCAUUCCUUAUACAUCUGAGUUGGCCAUCUGAGAUUUUGUUUCUACUACACAGCACUACGGCAAGGAUUACGCGAAACCACCUAGUCCCUAGUAUGGUUCCUGCCAUGUAAUCAGGACACAGCAGAUCGCAGCUGGGUAUUUUCCAUUUUCCUCCGGAUCUGCUCUGCACCCUUCUCCACUGGCCCUCAGCUGUGGGAAGCUGACCUCAUGGACUGCAGGCCUAGAGGUAAGCAGCCCUGGACUGUUGCAGCUACUCAAGAAGGUGUGGCCUUUGCUUCCUGGCACUCAGAUGGCAGCUGACCUCUAGGUAUGCAUCAUUCACAUCUGAGACAGGAAAGAGAGGGAAGGACCAAGGGUGAGGGGCUAAAUGAAACAGCCAGUGAGGUCCACUCCCUUUCAAAAGCUGACCUGAAGCCUCAACCCAGGACAUCACUAGCACAUCUGGGUCACAUGGGCUUCUACGGUCUGGCCUGGGAAUCUAGACCCUCAUUAACUGCAUGGUACCCAUUGGGAAGUCUGUUCUAAUCCCACACUCAGAUCCAGUUGACAUUUUUGACAUGGACCAGACAUCAGAUUUGACACGUUUGAUUAUAGUUGAUACAGGGAAAUGCCUGUAUCAACUAUAAUCAGAUUUAUCAAGUCCAGCCGUGAGGCUGGACUUUGGAACCUGGGUGGGGUCUGGAGAGGGAGAGAAGGAAGGAGAGAAAUGUAGGUGGAGCAACAGUGUAACAAGGCUGGGGAAAGUUCUGAGACUGAUGGCUACUUUCUGAGGUGGUCCCCUACAGUUUCAAAGCUUCCCGGAGCUCCACCUCUGCUGAGAAACCCCUCACCGAGCUUCCCUUUCUGUCUGGUUCUGUUGAACGCAAACGACAUCUGCUUCCCACUCCCUGAAACUUCUCUUCAGGGUUCCCGUCAUUGGCUCAAGCUAUGGGAGAGGGCGUGUGAGACCCAGGCCUUCCGGAGGCUUCCAGAGUUAAAGCACUCCCACGGACAGGAGACAGAACUGCCUGUGGAGAAUUGCAUUAUAGCCAAGCGCCGGGAUAUAUAUUUAUCUGUGCCUGACAUUCUCAUCUCUUUUUAAAGGAAAAGCCACACAUUUGGCCAAAAGAUGAAGUGGAAAAAAUGUACUGUUGAACAAAUAUCCAGGAUGGUUGCUCAGAAUGUAUAAAAUGAUGAACUGUGUGGAAAAAUCAUGCCUGUGGCAAAUUGUCAGCAGGCUAUAUUUGGGGGUCCGAAUGCAGGGCCCCUGCCAACUGAGUUCACAGAGCCUUAGUGUUUUUCCACUUCUAUUUAUAGCGAUGCACACAUUCACACACAAAAAAUGCAGGGGACAUUGGACUUCGUUUUUAAAUGAUGAAAAUGUUCGAAAUGUAUCUGGUUUCAGCACGUGAGAGCCGCUCUGCUGUCUACGAUCAGCCUUGCUUACUGAAGAAGGGAUUAAUCAACGUGGGGAAAACAACGUAAUAGGAUCCUUUGGGAAUCUGAAAGUCUGAAAACAACUUUUUUCUCUAUUUCCUUUUUAAAAUGUAAUUCACUUCAACAAAACUUUAUUGAGCACCAACGAUGCAAAAUGUUGAAAUGGACAUCUGAUUGUUGUCUCUCAGCCUCCAUUCCUCCUGCCCCUUUUCCAGCAGCCAUUGCUUCUAGUUGGAGAACCACGUGUUUCCAGUGAGGGAGAUUCUUCUUUCCAGCUUCAGAUGUUGAACACAAGACCUGGCUUGGCCAAUCAGGGCAAGCCAUCCCCCUGGGCACAGUGAUUGGCUCAGGCCCACCCCGAGCUGGACCAAUCAGAGUGAAGAGUGAGACUUUGGCCAGGAAUGCUGAAACAAAGACUGAGCCUUAGUGUUGGAUUUGAAGGAAGAAGCCCCAGGAGCUGCUGAGAGCUGUUUUAUAACCAUGAGCCAUGUAAAAUGUGCCUCCUUCGUCUUCUCAUUCUGCCAUGAUUGUAAGUUUCCUGAGGUCUCCCCAGCCACGCUUCCUGAACAGCCUGCGGAACGGCAGGAAUGAAAGAUUCUCCCCAGUGCCUGAAAGCUUGAAGGGAUGAAUAACUCCUCCCUUCUCAGGCCCAGUCCCAAGGCACAAGACCACUUGUGCCAGCAGCCAGCAGCGUGCAUCAGCAAGACAGCAGAAGCAGGAAGACAGCCUGCUGGAAGACACUUACCCUGGCCGGAAGACAUGUACCCCUGAAGAUGGAGAAAGAGGCCUUCCGGGUACUACGUAGCAGUCACGUCAGACCGGGACACUUCCUGUUUAGAGAGGACUAUAAAACUCCGGUCCGGUAAUCACUUGGGGCUGACGCCAUUUUAGGCCUCAUCCCGCCUGCACCCAGGCACUCAUUAAAACAGCGUGUUGCCCCACACUGCCUCGUGUUGUCUGUUGGUGCGCUCUCGGGGUUCAAACCGAUACAAGAACCUUUCAAAUGGUAGUAAGAUUAAAGGUUUUUACUAAGUUAUUAAUAACAAAAAAGGCACAGAUCUUAAAUGUGCAGUUAUGAAUUUUGGCAAUUGUAUACAUUCAUGUAAUCACUACCCACAACAAAAAUAGAAUGUUUCCACCACCACAAAAAGUUUGCAACACCCCUGUACCUCUUUCUAGUGCAUUUCCAAUCAUGUCCUCAUACCUACCUACCCCACAACCAUUUUUUAAUCUCUUCCAGAGCUAACGCUUAAUACAUUGAAUUUUACAUAAUCUUAGGAUAGACUGUCCCACAUAAAGGAGACUAUCUGCAAUAAUUUAUGUUGGAAGAAUAAGAUAUUGAUGUCAAUUAAUACAUUUUGUGUCCUGGUUUAAAAAUGCUCCUACUAUUAAUUAAAAUUUUAAAGACAUUUUCUUGUGAAAGUAUAAAGGGAUACUUUUUUCUAUUUUGAACAUUAUGAGUUCAAAAGUUCAUUCUGAUAGAAAAUUUUAUUUUGUGUGUUUCAACUAUGUAUGGAUGGAAAUAAAACUAGGAAGAAAUAUAGAUAAUUCUUUAUACUUCUUUGCAUUUUCCAAAUUUUAUGCUAC